GUGCCAGCAGCCGCGGUAAUACGUAGGGUGCGAGCGUUGUCCGGAAUUAUUGGGCGUAAAGAGCUCGUAGGCGGUUUGUCGCGUCUGCUGUGAAAUCCCGAGGCUCAACCUCGGGCCUGCAGUGGGUACGGGCAGACUAGAGUGCGGUAGGGGAGAUUGGAAUUCCUGGUGUAGCGGUGGAAUGCGCAGAUAUCAGGAGGAACACCGAUGGCGAAGGCAGAUCUCUGGGCCGUAACUGACGCUGAGGAGCGAAAGGGUGGGGAGCAAACAGGCUUAGAUACCCUGGUAGUCC
Molecule: ribosomal RNA, 292 nt
Filed under: uncultured microorganism
Description: partial 16S ribosomal RNA
Rfam family: Bacterial small subunit ribosomal RNA
Source: RNAcentral